UGAACGCUGGCGGCGUGCCUAAUACAUGCACGUCGAGCGAACAGACGCGGAGCUUGCUCCUCUGACGUUAGCGGCGGACGGGUGAGUAACACGUGGAUAACCUACCUAUAAGACUGGGAUAACUUCGGGAAACCGGAGCUAAUACCGGAUAAUAUAUUGAACCGCAUGGUUCAAUAGUGAAAGACGGUUUUGCUGUCACUUAUAGAUGGAUCCGCGCCGCAUUAGCUAGUUGGUAAGGUAACGGCUUACCAAGGCAACGAUGCGUAGCCGACCUGAGAGGGUGAUCGGCCACACUGGAACUGAGACACGGUCCAGACUCCUACGGGAGGCAGCAGUAGGGAAUCUUCCGCAAUGGGCGAAAGCCUGACGGAGCAACGCCGCGUGAGUGAUGAAGGUCUUCGGAUCGUAAAACUCUGUUAUUAGGGAAGAACAAAUGUGUAAGUAACUAUGCACGUCUUGACGGUACCUAAUCAGAAAGCCACGGCUAACUACGUG
RNAcentral lists this ribosomal RNA (495 nucleotides) under uncultured bacterium. RNAcentral's name for it is "partial 16S ribosomal RNA". It matches the Rfam family "Bacterial small subunit ribosomal RNA", at positions 30 to 507 of the family's 1533-position model. The record is from RNAcentral.